AUUGAACGCUGGCGGCAGGCCUAACACAUGCAAGUCGAACGGUAGCAGGAAGAAGCUUGCUUCUUCGCUGACGAGUGGCGGACGGGUGAGUCAUGUCUGGGAAACUGCCUGAUGGAGGGGGAUAACUACUGGAAACGGUAGCUAAUACCGCAUAACGUCGCAAGACCAAAGAGGGGGACCUUCGGGCCUCUUGCCAUCGGAUGUGCCCAGAUGGGAUUAGCUUGUUGGUGGGGUAACGGCUCACCAAGGCGACGAUCCCUAGCUGGUCUGAGAGGAUGACCAGCCACACUGGAACUGAGACACGGUCCAGACUCCUACGGAAGGCAGCAGUGGGGAAUAUUGCACAAUGGGCGAAAGCCUGAUGCAGCCAUGCCGCGUGUAUGAAGAAGGCCUUCGGGUUGUAAAGUACUUUCAGCGGGGAGGAAGGGAGUAAAGUUAAUACCUUUGCUCAUUGACGUUACCCGAAGAAGAAGCACCGGCUAACUCCGUG
RNAcentral lists this ribosomal RNA (490 nucleotides) under uncultured bacterium. RNAcentral's name for it is "partial 16S ribosomal RNA". It matches the Rfam family "Bacterial small subunit ribosomal RNA", at positions 30 to 507 of the family's 1533-position model. The record is from RNAcentral.